This 67-nucleotide transfer RNA is filed under the name Marmota monax (woodchuck). Its description in RNAcentral is "tRNA.Thr". The record is from RNAcentral. Lineage: Eukaryota; Metazoa; Chordata; Mammalia; Rodentia; Sciuridae.
GGUUGUGGCUCAGCGGUAGAGCGCUAACCUAGUGCAUGCAAGGCCCUGGGUUCUAUCCUCAGCACCA